RNAcentral lists this transfer RNA (75 nucleotides) under Fusobacterium sp. Its description in RNAcentral is "tRNA-Gln". It matches the Rfam family "tRNA". Rfam says of the family: Transfer RNA (tRNA) molecules are approximately 80 nucleotides in length. Their secondary structure includes four short double-helical elements and three loops (D, anti-codon, and T loops). Further hydrogen bonds mediate the characteristic L-shaped molecular structure. tRNAs have two regions of fundamental functional importance: the anti-codon, which is responsible for specific mRNA codon recognition, and the 3' end, to which the tRNAs corresponding amino acid is attached (by aminoacyl-tRNA synthetases). tRNAs cope with the degeneracy of the genetic code in two manners: having more than one tRNA (with a specific anti-codon) for a particular amino acid; and 'wobble' base-pairing, i.e. permitting non-standard base-pairing at the 3rd anti-codon position. The record is from RNAcentral. Lineage: Bacteria; Fusobacteriati; Fusobacteriota; Fusobacteriia; Fusobacteriales; Fusobacteriaceae.
UGGGCUGUCGCCAAGCGGUAAGGCAACGGACUUUGACUCCGUCAGGCGCUGGUUCGAAUCCAGCCAGCCCAGCCA